This 425-nucleotide ribosomal RNA is filed under the name Staphylococcus aureus. RNAcentral's name for it is "bacterial SSU rRNA". It matches the Rfam family "Bacterial small subunit ribosomal RNA", at positions 45 to 459 of the family's 1533-position model. Lineage: Bacteria; Bacillati; Bacillota; Bacilli; Caryophanales; Staphylococcaceae. The record is from RNAcentral.
UGCCUAAUACAUGCAAGUCGAGCGAACGGACGAGAAGCUUGCUUCUCUGAUGUUAGCGGCGGACGGGUGAGUAACACGUGGAUAACCUACCUAUAAGACUGGGAUAACUUCGGGAAACCGGAGCUAAUACCGGAUAAUAUUUUGAACCGCAUGGUUCAAAAGUGAAAGACGGUCUUGCUGUCACUUAUAGAUGGAUCCGCGCUGCAUUAGCUAGUUGGUAAGGUAACGGCUUACCAAGGCAACGAUGCAUAGCCGACCUGAGAGGGUGAUCGGCCACACUGGAACUGAGACACGGUCCAGACUCCUACGGGAGGCAGCAGUAGGGAAUCUUCCGCAAUGGGCGAAAGCCUGACGGAGCAACGCCGCGUGAGUGAUGAAGGUCUUCGGAUCGUAAAACUCUGUUAUUAGGGAAGAACAUAUGUGUA